AUGAACGCUAGCGGCAGGCCUAAUCCAUGCCAGUCGAACGAGAUUAAGAGGCUUGCUUCUUAUGAAAGUGGCGCACGGGUGCGUAACGCGUAUGCAACCUACCUUAAUCAGGGGGAUAGCCCGAAGAAAUUCGGAUUAAGACCGCAUAAAAACACAGGAUAGCAUUAUCCAAUGUUCAAAUAUUUAUAGGAUUAAGAUGGGCAUGCGUGUCAUUAGCUAGUUGGCGGGGUAACGGCCCACCAAGGCGACGAUGACUAGGGGAUCUGAGAGGAUGACCCCCCACACUGGUACUGAGACACGGACCAGACUCCUACGGGAGGCAGCAGUAAGGAAUAUUGGUCAAUGGAGGGAACUCUGAACCAGCCAUGCCGCGUGCAGGAAGACAGCCCUUUGGGUCGUAAACUGCUUUUAUUCGGGAAUAAACCUUUCUACGUGUAGGAAGCUGAAUGUACCGAAGGAAUAAGGAUCGGCUAACUCCGUG
This 481-nucleotide ribosomal RNA is filed under the name uncultured bacterium. RNAcentral describes it as "partial 16S ribosomal RNA". It matches the Rfam family "Bacterial small subunit ribosomal RNA", at positions 29 to 507 of the family's 1533-position model. The record is from RNAcentral.